GUCAUAUGCUUGUCUCAAAGAUUAAGCCAUGCAUGUCUAAGUAUAAGCAAAUAUACCGCGAAACUGCGAAUGGCUCAUUAUAUAAGUUAUCGUUUAUUUGAUAGCACAUUACUACAUGGAUAACUGUGGUAAUUCUAGAGCUAAUACAUGCUAAAAAUCCCGACUUCGGAAGGGAUGUAUUUAUUAGAUUAAAAGCCAACGCCCUUCGGGGCUUCCUGUUGAUUCAUAAUAACUUUUCGAAUCGCAUGGCCUUGCGCCGGCGAUGGUUCAUUCAAAUUUCUUCCCUAUCAACUUUCGAUGCGAAGGUAUUGUCUUCGCAUGGUUGCAACGGGAAUGGAGGUUAGGGCUCGACCCCGGAGAAGAAGCCUGGGAAACGGCUACUACAUCCAAGGAAGGCAGCCGGCGCGCAAAUUACCCAAACCCGACACGGGGAGGUAGUGACAAUAAAUACUGAUACAGGAGCUCUUUUGUGUCUUGACAUCGGAAUGAGAAGCUU
Molecule: ribosomal RNA, 496 nt
Filed under: Lomentospora prolificans
Lineage: Eukaryota; Fungi; Ascomycota; Sordariomycetes; Microascales; Microascaceae
Description: Scedosporium prolificans Eukaryotic small subunit ribosomal RNA
Rfam family: Eukaryotic small subunit ribosomal RNA
Source: Rfam by way of RNAcentral